UCUACGGGAGGCAGCAGUGAGGAAUAUUGGUCAAUGGGCGUAAGCCUGAACCAGCCAAGUAGCGUGAGGGAUGAAGGUUCUAUGGAUCGUACACCUCUUUUAUAAGGGAAUAAAGUGCGGGACGUGUCCCGUUUUGUAUGUACCUUAUGAAUAAGGAUCGGUUACAUCCGUGCCAGCAGCCGCGGGAAUGCGGAGGAUACGUGAGUUAUCCGGGUUUAUUGGGUUUAAAAGGUGCGUAGGCGGCCUUUUAAGUCAGCGGUGAAAGUCUGUGGCUCAACCAUAGAAUUGCCGUUGAUACUGGGAGGCUUGAGUAUGUUUGAGGCAGGCGGAAUGCGUGGUGUAGCGGUGAAAUGCUUAGAUAUCACGCAGAAUCCCGAUUGCGAAGGCAGCCUGCCAAGCCAUGACUGACGCUGAUGCACGAAAGCGUGGGGAUCAAACAGGAUUAGAUACCCUAGUAGUC
Molecule: ribosomal RNA, 460 nt
Filed under: uncultured bacterium
Lineage: Bacteria
Description: partial 16S ribosomal RNA
Rfam family: Bacterial small subunit ribosomal RNA
Source: RNAcentral